This 459-nucleotide ribosomal RNA is filed under the name uncultured bacterium. RNAcentral describes it as "partial 16S ribosomal RNA". It matches the Rfam family "Bacterial small subunit ribosomal RNA", at positions 338 to 795 of the family's 1533-position model. The record is from RNAcentral.
CCUACGGGAGGCAGCAGUGAGGAAUAUUGGUCAAUGGGCGGGAGCCUGAACCAGCCAAGUCGCGUGAGGGAUGACGGCCCUAUGGGUUGUAAACCUCUUUUGCCGGGGAGCAAAGUGCGGCACGUGUGCGGUUUGGCGCGUACCCGGAGAAAAAGCAUCGGCUAACUCCGUGCCAGCAGCCGCGGUAAUACGGGGGAUGCUAGCGUUAUCCGGAUUUAUUGGGUUUAAGGGGUGCGUAGGCGGACGCUUAAGUCAGCGGUAAAAGUGCGGGGCUCAACCUCGUCGAGCCGUUGAAACUGGGUGGCUUGAGUGGGCGAGAGGUAAGCGGAAUGCGUGGUGUAGCGGUGAAAUGCAUAGAUAUCACGCAGAACUCCGAUUGCGAAGGCAGCGUACCGGCGCCCAACUGACGCUGAGGCACGAAGGCGUGGGUAUCGAACAGGAUUAGAUACCCUAGUAGUC